Stomoxys calcitrans (stable fly) is the source of this 291-nucleotide long non-coding RNA. RefSeq lists it as uncharacterized. The record is from RefSeq and is a predicted model, not a curated record. The transcript is spliced from 2 exons. Lineage: Eukaryota; Metazoa; Arthropoda; Insecta; Diptera; Muscidae.
UUGAAAACGAGCAAAGUAAAAGAAGCGCAAAUGAAAAACAACCGUGGGAGGAGAAGGAAAAGGGCGAAGCUUCAUGCAGUGAGAGUGGACUAAAAGGGAGAUAGGUAGAUAGACCAUGCUAAAGCAAAAUCAUUGAAUGAAUUUCUAUAAAAAUACGUUUGAAGUGGGUUUGUAUUAAAGAAGCCAAAACAUUUCAUGUGUGUGUGUAUGGAGUGAUUAAAACUUGGAAUAAAUUUGGUUUGGAACACAAUUUUCAACUUUUUGUUUUUAAUAAAUGCAUGUUGGGUUUUU